RNAcentral lists this ribosomal RNA (487 nucleotides) under uncultured bacterium. RNAcentral's name for it is "partial 16S ribosomal RNA". It matches the Rfam family "Bacterial small subunit ribosomal RNA", at positions 28 to 523 of the family's 1533-position model. The record is from RNAcentral.
GAUGAACGCUGGCGGCGUGCUUAACACAUGCAAGUCGAACGAAGCACUUUGAAACUUUCGGGUUUCAAAGUGACUGAGUGGCGGACGGGUGAGUAACGCGUGGGUAACCUGCCUUAUACAGGGGGAUAACAGUUAGAAAUGACUGCUAAUACCGCAUAACCCGCUAGGGUCACAUGAUCUAGACGGAAAAGAUUUAUCGAUAUAAGAUGGAACCGCGUCUGAAUAGCUAGUUGGUGAGGUAAUGGCCCACCAAGGCGACGAUCAGUAGCCGGCUUGAGAGAGUGAACGGCCACAUUGGGACUGAGACACGGCCCAAACUCCUACGGGAGGCAGCAGUGGGGAAUAUUGCACAAUGGGGGAAACCCUGAUGCAGCAACGCCGCGUGAAGGAAGAAGUAUUUCGGUAUGUAAACUUCUAUCAGCAGGGAAGAAAAUGACGGUACCUGACUAAGAAGCCCCGGCUAACUACGUGCCAGCAGCCGCGGUAA